RNAcentral lists this ribosomal RNA (401 nucleotides) under Salmonella enterica. RNAcentral's name for it is "partial 16S ribosomal RNA". It matches the Rfam family "Bacterial small subunit ribosomal RNA", at positions 108 to 505 of the family's 1533-position model. Lineage: Bacteria; Pseudomonadati; Pseudomonadota; Gammaproteobacteria; Enterobacterales; Enterobacteriaceae. The record is from RNAcentral. RNAcentral also lists the same sequence under 2 other names.
GAGUAAUGUCUGGGAAACUGCCUGAUGGAGGGGGAUAACUACUGGAAACGGUGGCUAAUACCGCAUAACGUCGCAAGACCAAAGAGGGGGACCUUCGGGCCUCUUGCCAUCAGAUGUGCCCAGAUGGGAUUAGCUUGUUGGUGAGGUAACGGCUCACCAAGGCGACGAUCCCUAGCUGGUCUGAGAGGAUGACCAGCCACACUGGAACUGAGACACGGUCCAGACUCCUACGGGAGGCAGCAGUGGGGAAUAUUGCACAAUGGGCGCAAGCCUGAUGCAGCCAUGCCGCGUGUAUGAAGAAGGCCUUCGGGUUGUAAAGUACUUUCAGCGGGGAGGAAGGUGUUGUGGUUAAUAACCGCAGCAAUUGACGUUACCCGCAGAAGAAGCACCGGCUAACUCCG